Molecule: long non-coding RNA, 294 nt
Organism: Microcebus murinus (gray mouse lemur)
Lineage: Eukaryota; Metazoa; Chordata; Mammalia; Primates; Cheirogaleidae
Source: RefSeq, a predicted model, not a curated record
CCGUGAGAAGGAAGGAUCAGCAUCUGAACCUCAGAGUAGGGUGGAGAAGAGUGGCUAGAACGGAGGUUCAAAUGAACAAUAUUCCUUCAAGUCAUCAAAAUAAAAUGGAGUAGACAAGUGGCCAACAGAAAAUAUUCACUGAAUAAACAGAUUCAAAGCCAAAGCCCUGCUAUUGAGGAGCUGGCAGUAUGAUGGGGGAGAGAGGAAACAACUACCAUGUGACAGUGUAUUCACAGAGAGUUCUAGAAGGACUGGGUUUGGGGAUGAGAGACGUCUGCACAGGCUUUCUGGAGU